Molecule: ribosomal RNA, 757 nt
Filed under: uncultured bacterium
Lineage: Bacteria
Description: bacterial SSU rRNA
Rfam family: Bacterial small subunit ribosomal RNA
Source: RNAcentral
UNUGACUUGAGUGCAGAAGGGGAGAGUGGAGUUCCAUGUGUAGCGGUGAAAUGCGUAGAUAUAUGGAGGAACACCAGUGGCGAAAGCGGCUCUCUGGUCUGUCACUGACGCUGAGGCUCGAAAGCGUGGGUAGCGAACAGGAUUAGAUACCCUGGUAGUCCACGCCGUAAACGAUGAGUGCUAGGUGUUAGGCCCUUUCCGGGGCUUAGUGCCGGAGCUAACGCAAUAAGCACUCCGCCUGGGGAGUACGACCGCAAGGUUGAAACUCAAAGGAAUUGACGGGGGCCCGCACAAGCGGUGGAGCAUGUGGUUUAAUUCGAAGCAACGCGAAGAACCUUACCAGGUCUUGACAUCCCGAUGCUAUUCUUAGAGAUAGGAAGUUACUUCGGUACAUCGGAGACAGGUGGUGCAUGGUUGUCGUCAGCUCGUGUCGUGAGAUGUUGGGUUAAGUCCCGCAACGAGCGCAACCCUUAUUGUUAGUUGCCAUCAUUAAGUUGGGCACUCUAGCGAGACUGCCGGUAAUAAACCGGAGGAAGGUGGGGAUGACGUCAAAUCAUCAUGCCCCUUAUGACCUGGGCUACACACGUGCUACAAUGGUCGGUACAACGAGUUGCGAGCCGGUGACGGCAAGCUAAUCUCUGAAAGCCGAUCUCAGUUCGGAUUGGAGGCUGCAACUCGCCUCCAUGAAGUCGGAAUCGCUAGUAAUCGCGGAUCAGCACGCCGCGGUGGAUACGUUCCCGGGCCUUGUACACACCGC